UCAUCCAAAACAAAAUUAUGUUUGUCUCCACAACCUCCAUCUUCGUCACCACCAUCGCCGUCUGCAUCUCCACGAAAAAGCGAUAAAACUAAACUCCACCACCAUCAUCUCCAGCACCACCUCAUCGCCCACCUUCUCUACAUAUUCAUCAUCAUCUCCAUCACUACCUCUUAUAUUUCCACCAAAUCCACCACCUACAGCACCACCUCUUCCUCCCAAACAAUCGAUUCAGAUUCAAAACCUAAAUCUGGUGAUGAUUCAACUAAAAAUUAAUCUUCAAAACUUAAUUUCGAAAAUGAGAAAUUAGAUUCAUUUUGAUUCAUCUGGAUUCGGAUUAGAGAACCUAAAUUCUACGGUAACAAUGUUAGUUCUUAAAUGGUCACCUACAAUUGGAUCUGGAGAUUCAAUAUUCAAAAGAGAAUUAAAAGGAAACGGUGGUGGUGGUGGUCGGGAAAUGGUGGUAGUGGUGAAUUCUUCUUGCUUCCGAAGAAAAAGGGUACGCAAAUGAUGGUGGUGGUGAUGAUUUCCUGGGUUCGGUCCAUAUAUGAUUCUUAUUACAUCAUCUCUGGUUGCCGGCUUCCCCACCCUCUUGCAAGUGAUCUUAGUUUCCCAAGGUAUUGGAAUUAUUUGAGGAAGCAUACAUUUGUACUUGAAGCGUACAUAGAUAGAGUCAAUUGGAUUUGUUGGGAUUUGUUUCACCAUACAUCAUGGCAAUGGUUCAUAUAGCAUCAACAUUACGAGUAUCUUUCAGAGGUUACUCAUUUUUGGUGGUAUCAAAUUAUAACUUUAUUCAAGUGGGUUUAAUGAGAAAGGAUAUGUUGAUUAUCUUCAUUUCAUUUAUAUUGGAGCCAAUAUUAUUCUAGAUCCAUUUUACAGGUUUGGUUCUUAGGAAUUAAUUUCCAUGGUCGAAAGAUCUUUGGACUUCAGUUUUUAUGGGAUCAAUUACUGUUGUUGAUCUAUUUUGUGGGAUCAACUACUAUUGUUGACACCAUUUUUUAUGGAUCAACUAUUGUUGUUGAUCCCAUUUAUGCAAUCAACUCAUGUUGUUGACAGCAUUUUCUAUGGGAUCAAUUCCUAUUAUCGACAACAUUUCCUUGGAUUAGUAUAGUCAUAUUUGUAGUUUAGAUCAUGUUUGUUAAAAAAGUUAGCUUAAUUUCUUGUUGGUUUGUGUUGUUGUUCGACUGAUGGUAGUGGUGGUGUUGUCAGAUUUUAUAGGUGUAAAGUUCUUCAAAUGUUGAAUUUGUGGUGCAAUGGUAACAUGACUGACUCUAUGUCAGAUGCGUGUUCGACUAUCGCCAAAUUCACUCAUUCAUGUAUGUCAUUUUUUGUUUUUCAUGUCAAACUUUGGUGGUUGAUUCCAUCUGGGAUCAACUUCCAUUGUUGACACUACUGGACUAGAAUAUUUUUCAGUCAUUUGUGCCAACUUUGGUAGCUGAUUCCAUUCACCGGGAUUAACUUCCAUUGUUAACACAAGAAAGCUGGAAUAUUUUUUCAGUUAUUGUGUCAACUUUGGCGGUUGACCCCAUUCACUGGGAUCAACUUCCAUUGUUGACACAACUGAACUGGAUUAUUUUUUUGUUAUUUGUAUAAAAUUUGGUUGUUGACUUCAUUCAUGGGAUCAACUUAGCUUGUUGACUAAAAAAAAAUUGAAAUAUGUAUUAGUAAAGCUUUUUUUUGACAUUUUAAUUUUUGGAUCAACUUUGGUUGUUGACACCAAAUUUUGGUGGCGGCGGUGGUGGUGGC
RNA transcript from Papaver somniferum (opium poppy), 1743 nucleotides. RefSeq lists it as uncharacterized. NCBI's taxonomy places the organism in Eukaryota, Viridiplantae, Streptophyta, Magnoliopsida, Ranunculales, Papaveraceae. The transcript has 5 exons. The record is from RefSeq and is a predicted model, not a curated record.